RNAcentral lists this ribosomal RNA (253 nucleotides) under uncultured bacterium. Its description in RNAcentral is "partial 16S ribosomal RNA". It matches the Rfam family "Bacterial small subunit ribosomal RNA", at positions 524 to 776 of the family's 1533-position model. The record is from RNAcentral.
UACAGAGGUCUCAAGCGUUGUUCGGAUUCAUUGGGCGUAAAGAGUGCGUAGGCGGCGCGGUAAGUCGAGUGUGAAAUCUCGGGACUUAACUCCGAAACUGCAUUCGAUACUGCCGUGCUUGAGGACUGGAGAGGAGACUGGAAUUUACGGUGUAGCAGUGAAAUGCGUAGAUAUCGUAAGGAAGACCAGUGGCGAAGACGGGUCUCUGGACAGUUCCUGACGCUGAGGCACGAAGGUCAGGGGAGCAAACGGG